GUGAAGCAGAAUUCACCAA
RNAcentral lists this non-coding RNA (19 nucleotides) under Arabidopsis thaliana (thale cress). The record is from RNAcentral. Lineage: Eukaryota; Viridiplantae; Streptophyta; Magnoliopsida; Brassicales; Brassicaceae. RNAcentral also lists the same sequence under 1 other name.